Bos taurus (domestic cattle) is the source of this 952-nucleotide long non-coding RNA. Lineage: Eukaryota; Metazoa; Chordata; Mammalia; Artiodactyla; Bovidae. The record is from Ensembl.
UAAUCCGUCUGAAGCGCACACCACGUGACAUGUUCGCGCAUGCGCUUCUCCUACCUGGGGGGUCCUGCGCCUAGAAAGGGAGUUCCCAGCAGAUCUUUUCUGCGCUGGGGGCGCUCACCCGGAUUUUAUAAGUCCCGUGGUGCAAGAGACCAUUUUCCUCUGGCAGAAAUAUAGGAAGAUCGUGCCGCUGUCCUCGUGGACCCUCUCCACGCCCGUUUCUCAGUCAGCUGAGCUCUGGGGAGCACAUCGUCUUCCUUGAUCCUCCUGUCCAUCUUGUGGCCAGGACAGGCCCCUCUUCAACUUGUGCAGAGGGUCUUUCUCCCCGCGCCUCUCGUUUUUCUUCAGUUCCUCAGAUCUGCAUUUUGCAGGCCAAGCUUCUCUCCAGGGGGAGCACUCAGGACAACGUGAAAAUGGCUGUGAGACCCAGGAAAAUUAGAAAAAAGAUGAGGCAGCUGAGUCUGAGACCGCUUAGUUAAGAUGGUCAAGAUCCUACAGGCAGAAGCUGGGUUCGAACUCAAGCCGUGUGGCUCUGCGGCCCGCUCGGAGCGCCUGCACACUCCUAUCUGUGUACUUCUUCACAGUGCACACUCCACGCUUGCAGGACGUUUCACGCCCCCAGCUUCUGGCCCCGAACGGCAGCAGCGCGCUGUCUGACACAUCCGCCACCACUGAGAAAUCAGAAGCGCCCUCGUUCAUCUCCAAACGCUUCCCAGGUCAACAUCUCCAGUUGAGAAGGACCAGGGGAAAAAUGGUUAUAAAAAUACAUACGUACACACUCUCUCCCUCUAUCAUCUCUCUAUCUCACAACUUGUCUAAAAGUUUCCUACAUUUUUAUAAAUUUAUAACUUUAAGAACACACAGCAGCACAACUGAUAGGGAAAGAAAAGGAUCAGGUGAUGAACAUGAGGUAAUUUUGUAGGUGUGUUUCUAAUGCUCCUCUUCAUUAUUUGUG